GUGCCAGCCGCCGCGGUAAGACGGAAGGUGCAAGCGUUGCUCGGAAUCACUGGGCGUAAAGGGUGCGUAGGCGGCUGUGUAAGUCUGGCGUGAAAGCCCAGGGCUCAGCCCUGGAAGUGCGCUAGAAACUGCGCGGCUGGAGUGCCGGAGGGGAGAGUGGAAUUCCUGGUGUAGCGGUGAAAUGCGUAGAUAUCAGGAGGAAUACCGGUGGCGAAAGCGACUCUCUGGACGGCAACUGACGCUGAGGCACGAAAGCGUGGGGAGCAAACAGGAUUAGAUACCCCGGUAGUCC
This 292-nucleotide ribosomal RNA is filed under the name uncultured bacterium. Its description in RNAcentral is "partial 16S ribosomal RNA". It matches the Rfam family "Bacterial small subunit ribosomal RNA", at positions 505 to 796 of the family's 1533-position model. The record is from RNAcentral.